This 253-nucleotide ribosomal RNA is filed under the name uncultured bacterium. Its description in RNAcentral is "partial 16S ribosomal RNA". It matches the Rfam family "Bacterial small subunit ribosomal RNA", at positions 524 to 776 of the family's 1533-position model. The record is from RNAcentral.
UACAGAGGGGGCAAGCGUUGUUCGGAAUUACUGGGCGUAAAGGGGUCGUAGGCGGCCAACUAAGUCAGACGUGAAAUCCCUAGGCUCAACCUAGGAACUGCGUCUGAUACUGGAUGGCUUGAAUCCGGGAGAGGGAUGCAGAAUUCCAGGUGUAGCGGUGAAAUGCGUAGAUAUCUGGAGGAAUACCGGUGGCGAAGGCGGCAUCCUGGACCGGCAUUGACGCUGAGGAGCGAAAGCUAGGGGAGCAAACGGG